CCUACGGGUGGCUGCAGUGGGGAAUAUUGCACAAUGGGCGCAAGCCUGAUGCAGCCAUGCCGCGUGUGUGAAGAAGGCCUUCGGGUUGUAAAGCACUUUCAGCGGGGAGGAAGGCGGUGAGGUUAAUAACCUCAUCGAUUGACGUUACCCGCAGAAGAAGCACCGGCUAACUGCCGUGCCAGCAGCCGCGGUAAUACGGAGGGUGCAAGCGUUAAUCGGAAUUACUGGGCGUAAAGCGCACGCAGGCGGUCUGUCAAGUCGGAUGUGAAAUCCCCGGGCUCAACCGGGGAACUGCAUUCGAAACUGGCAGGCUAGAGUCUUGUAGAGGGGGGUAGAAUUCCAGGUGUAGCGGUGAAAUGCGUAGAGAUCUGGAGGAAUACCGGUGGCGAAGGCGGCCCCCUGGACAAAGACUGACGCUCAGGUGCGAAAGCGUGGGGAGCAAACAGGAUUAGAUACCCCGGUAGUC
RNAcentral lists this ribosomal RNA (466 nucleotides) under uncultured Klebsiella sp. RNAcentral describes it as "bacterial SSU rRNA". It matches the Rfam family "Bacterial small subunit ribosomal RNA", at positions 338 to 795 of the family's 1533-position model. Lineage: Bacteria; Pseudomonadati; Pseudomonadota; Gammaproteobacteria; Enterobacterales; Enterobacteriaceae. The record is from RNAcentral.